AAAAAUUCUAAACCCUAACAAGAUUUUCAUCGGUUAUGGCUAUGGAAGAAUCGGCAAUUGCCGUUGAUUUACUCACCGAUUCAUCGGCUACAUCUCUACCGUCUGAUCACACAGACUCUUGUUCUUCACCUUCUGAUCUCCCUUCCCCCACGGCCACCAGACUUAACGCCUUGGCGCCGGCAUUCGUUCCGCGGUCGAUUUCUCCUACGCCAUCUUUGAACGAUUUGAAUCAGGCUGAUUUUCAUCCGCUUCCGAACCAUUAUGUAUAUGCUCCUCAGUUGCAGGUUCAGUAUCCAUCACCGUAUUAUGGCGGUGGUGGUGGUGGUGUAGCUGAUGUAGAUCAUGCUAGUGCUAGUAAACGUGGAGGGUUAACUGAUGAAGCUGCGCAAAAGAUUGUUAAUCAAGUGGAGUUCUAUUUCAGUGAUUUAAAUUUGG
This 435-nucleotide unclassified non-coding RNA is filed under the name Hevea brasiliensis (rubber tree). The record is from RNAcentral. Lineage: Eukaryota; Viridiplantae; Streptophyta; Magnoliopsida; Malpighiales; Euphorbiaceae.